UUGAUAUUUCUCUCCCCAGAUUGUGUUUCCUAAAGCAUUUUCAGAAUUUUUCCUGGGGAUUUGGUGAAGGUGCGUAGAGGCACUUUGUGCUCAGGAAUUCAUACACAACCAUGAAGUUUGCAUUCAGAACGUUUGGCUCUGGGUCUACAAUGAGAAUACUUGUGCGGCUGCUGAAAUAAACCAACAAUAAUAACACACUGCAGGAUUGAACCUGGUGCUUACCCACGACAGGAAAGGGCUCUAUCUGUCACCUUCCCUCCCAUGAUCUUCAGAGGCUAAAAAUGCCUACUGGAAACUAACGACAAGGACAUUUGCUGCUGACCAGUGUACGAAGGUGCGCCCGACGCAGACGGCGACUAGUCAUUCCUGAAGCAGCUGCUGUGGGUGACAACUAAAAGAACGACGCCCAGGUUCUCUCUGUUUGUCACAUACUGGAAAACAUGCAGCAGCAUGGAGGACUUUUAUUAAGUUUAUAAACACCAGGAACUGUAAUAAAAUAUAAAAUACAGAGCA
Rattus norvegicus (Norway rat) is the source of this 513-nucleotide non-coding RNA. The record is from RefSeq and is a predicted model, not a curated record. NCBI's taxonomy places the organism in Eukaryota, Metazoa, Chordata, Mammalia, Rodentia, Muridae.